This is a long non-coding RNA of Oncorhynchus nerka (sockeye salmon), 1712 nucleotides long. RefSeq lists it as uncharacterized. The record is from RefSeq and is a predicted model, not a curated record. Lineage: Eukaryota; Metazoa; Chordata; Actinopteri; Salmoniformes; Salmonidae. The transcript has 3 exons.
AACUUCAUAUACUAUUGUUAUGUUAUUAUCAAAAGAUUGAAUCUACUAGAAACACUAUGAAAACAGCAUCUAGCCUCAGCCGCUCAGAAAGCAUCCGACCCAUUUGUUUUUGGACAUUUGGAAAUUAGGGAUGCAGAGGAAUGUUUUGUCAUAAACCUUGCAUUUUCAAUCUAGUUUUCACAUCAUAUGCAGACACAGGGUAACAUGGUCAACAUGUGACUGUGGGAUCCUUUCAGAAGCUGCCCCGGCUGGCUGCCAGAGCCUUCAGCACAACAACCAAACAGAUGAAGAACAAGGUGCCAGAUCGUCAGAACCUAUUCCAGGGGAGCAUGACAUCAUUAGAACACCUGGGUGAGAAACUAUCCCAAACGAGGAAAACAAGAGGCGGACAACGGCUUGCCAGUCCACAUCAAGGGAGGGACCACUGAUGUCCUUCUCUACCAGCUAACAAUGACCAUCACCCUCCGCAGGCACUGGAUAUUCCUUAUUCUGGAUUCUAAGUGCCUGUCAGCCCAAGGGCAAAUGAGGAAGCCCUGCGAAUGCAUGUGUUUGUUUAAAUCAAUUCCACUUUAUGACCUUCUAAUGUCAUGGGACACUUUAUGUACAGAAUACAGAAAUCUCUCUAUUAUGCCUCUGUUUCAAGGCAAGCCCUAUUUUCCUCUAUCAACCCAUGUGUCAUUUCACUUGAACCUCAAUGAAAUGAUCUAUUCCUGCCACCCUGUGUUCAAUCAGAGAAAUUAGAAGGAACAUUUCACACGGAACAAACUUUGAAAAGAACCCCGUGUUGCAUGGCUUUGGAUGGCAACAGGAGGUGUCACUAUUUGAAUCGGUAACAUCAAAAAGUGUACUGAUGCUAGAAAUAUGAAAAUCAGUUGCAAAAAAAAUACUCCAGCCAAAUACCAAUAGGGUUAUUUAAUUACGAUUCCAUGUAUGUGACAAAAAAAAUGCUGAGAUUUGAGAAAUACAUUUUGGCACACAAUUCAAAAGUCAUCCAGUCAGUCACAAACAGACCCUUUCGUUACUCUGGGUCUUGUUUUGUUUUGUUGGACUGUCUCUAAAUCGAAUCUAUUGAAACAAUUAGAGCCAAGCUUAAGUUUUUCAUGGCCUUUUCUCCUCAUAAGCAACUCAGUAAAUGAAUGCUACAAUUGACAAAAAUAUUAAUUUGUAGAAAUAUUCUAUCACUUUCGUACUCGUAUGUUUAGUUCUCAAAUUCAGUGUAAUUGCUACAUCUAGAGACUUAUUACAGUAAAGUCUUAGAACACCUAAUCAUUCCAGGGUUUUUCUUUAUUUUUUACUAUUUUCUACAUUGUAGAAUGAUAGUGAAGACAUCAAAACUAUGAAAUAACACAUAUGAAAUCAAGUAGUAACCAUAAAAGUGUUAAACAAAUCAAAGCAGCCAUCCUUUGCAUUGACAGAUUUGCACAUGCUUGACAUUCUCUCAACCAGCUUCAUGAGGUAGUCACCUGGAAUGCAAUUUCAAUUAAAAGUACAUUUUUGGAAUUUCUUUCCUUCUAAAUGCGUUUGAGCCAAUUAGUUGUGUUGUGACAAGGUAGGGGGGUAUACAGAAGAUAACCCUAUUUUGUAAAAGACCAAGUCCACAUUAUGGCAAGAACAGCUCAAAUAAUCAAAGAGAAAUGACAGUCCAUCAUUACUUUAUGACAUGAAGGUCAGUCAAUACGGAACAUUUCAAGAACUUUGAAUGUUUCUUCAAG